AAAAAGCCCUCUCCAUGCACCACCAGAUCUCUCAACGAAGUAUUGUAGAGUUUCACCUAGUCUCUGAGAAAGUCUUCUCCUCUCCCAUCUGCUCUCCAUACACCACCACAUCUCUCUCUCUUAUCCGAAGUAUCUUCUCCUCUCCCCUCUCUAUACACCACACACAUGGCACCCACCGCAAUGCCGAAGAACAAAGCCAAGAAGCGAAAGCUUGUGAAGAAAGUCGAUAAGAAACUGACCAAGAAGGUCAAGAUCAAAACCCUAGCAGCACUUCCGACCAAAGAAACGAACAAUGAAUUCGAGAACGACGCAUCCAGUCCCGACUCCGAACCCGAAUCUGAGUCCGAGACUAUCCAGAAGCUGCUCGAACCCUACACCAAGGACCAACUCAUCGAAUUCCUCGUCGACGCGGCCGCAGACGAUGCCGCUCUCUCCGAUAGUAUCCGCGAAGCCGCCGACCGCGACGUCUCGCACCGGAAGAUCUUCGUCCACGGCCUUGGCUGGGACACCACUCGCGAAACCCUAGUCUCUAUUUUCGAAUCGUUCGGCGAUAUCGAGGAUUGCAACGUCGUCACCGAUCGAGUUACUGGUAAGGCAAAGGGGUAUGGCUUCGUUGUGUUCAAGUCUCGAAUUGGAGCGAUGAAGGCCCUGAAUGAACAGAAGAAGCGGAUCGGUAGUCGAAUGGCGUGGUGCCAAUUGGCGUCGGUAGGGCCGGCGGCGCAGUCGCAGAGCCAGGACACGGCGGCGCGGAAGAUCUAUGUGAGUAACGUUCAGGCCGACGUCGAUCCGGAUAAAUUACGUGUUUUCUUUGCGAAAUUUGGGGAAAUUGAGACUGGUCCUAUAGGGUUCGACAUGCAGACUGGUAAAUCGAGGGGUUUUGCGUUGUUUUUAUACAAAACUGCAGAAGGGGCAAGGAAGGUGCUUGAAGAGCCGUAUAAGAUGUUUGAGGGUCACCAAUUGCAUUGUCAGAAGGCGGCGGAUGGGAAGAAUAAGGCCCCAGUGGCACCGGUGAUACCAACAGCGGUGCAGCCGGUGCAGGCGCCAGUUUUAGCAGCGCAGAACUUUGCGUUGUUUGGUCAAAACCCAGGUUUUAAUCCGAUGUACAGUGCAUUGUUUGCCAAUCCUAAUGCUGCGUUGUUCGCGGCUGCGCAUGGGGGCAUGGCAACAGGGUUUGGGGGGUAUGGUGCGCCCAUGGCAUCGCAUGGAUUUAAUUUAGGUGGGAAUUCUUCCGUGCUGGGGGCGUACGGGUCCGGUGCACCGACACUGCAGGGUCUGCAGCAUUCAUAUCCGAAUUUGCAAAAUGCGCAGUCAUCGUCGGCUAGGCCUAACGGGGUUGGUGGGUCUUUCAUUGGCUAUCCACCGUACAUGUGAUUAAGUGCAGCUGAGCAUGAGGAACAAUUUCGUGCAGUUUCGGAGAACUUUUAUCUAAGGGCUUAUUUGGAUAAAUAAGCGAACUUUGUGUUAUUUAUUUGACAUUUUUAGAGAUUAAUGAAGAUUGGGAUUGCGGAUUCUGUUUUUGGGUUCUCGAGUAGUAAGCUAAUGAUACCAGAUGCAGAACUUGGAUCCAGAUUAAUGAGGAUUGGGAUUUCGAAUUCUAUCAUUUGCGUCGAAGGUUUGUUGUACUUUGUUCUUUCGCCUGUUUUUCUUACAUUUCUUUGCUCUUUGGUUUUCCUUGCAGCUUCAUCACUUAAAUAUUUUUCUUAUUAAUUUUAUCUCUUACAAUUGCUUGUUAUGAUUAAUUCUUGAUAUAUUCUCCACUAAAGAGACAUUGUAAAUACUAAUUUGCCUCUUUUUUCUUAAAAGUUUUCGUUUACACGAUGAAAACCCCCGAGAAUGGUGGAUUAUCUAUGAUCAGAGGAUGUUGGAUUCUUGCACGCCCUUAUAAAACAUUUAUUGAUGUUCAGUCUACCAGAUUUUUUUUGGUUCUUGCAUUCACUUUUUCUCAAGUCUCCUUUUGUAGGAUUUAAUGCGCUUAAUGUUUAUUUUUACGACUGACUCUAUGAAAUUUCUUUUGGAAGAAA
Molecule: RNA transcript, 2021 nt
Organism: Cornus florida
Lineage: Eukaryota; Viridiplantae; Streptophyta; Magnoliopsida; Cornales; Cornaceae
Gene name: UBP1-associated protein 2B-like
Exons: 4
Source: RefSeq, a predicted model, not a curated record